Molecule: long non-coding RNA, 498 nt
Filed under: Homo sapiens (human)
Lineage: Eukaryota; Metazoa; Chordata; Mammalia; Primates; Hominidae
Description: non-protein coding lnc-TRNP1-5:1
Source: RNAcentral
UUUGAAUUUUUGCAAUGAGACCUUGGCGGUGCCCUUGAGCAGUAGGAUAUAAAUAACUCCCACAUGCUUAGUGUUCCAAUAAUGGAACACUAGGCAUAAAUGGGUUUAAGCAUCUUCUAUCCAUGAGGGGCUCUGUGUUUGAAGAAGGAUGAGGAAGAUGCCCCGUGCAGGCCCCACCAACUUCCCAGUGGCUCACUUCCUGCUUUGCCCCUCACUCACUGGCACUUUCUGUGUUUCAGCAGCCUGUUCUGGCCAUAGCAAAAAGGGGUCCUCCAGCGACUGCCACAGCUGUUCCAACAACAGCCUCAGCCUUUGGCAUUUCAUGGUUUCCUCAGGAAACUGACUAGAUGAGCCCAUUUCUUAGGGACAGCCCAGUUUAAGACCACAGGGACAACCUUGAACCCACUAACUCUAUCCUCAUCUCACUCUACCAGCCAGCUACAGUGAAGGUUCUUUUGGAGGCCAGUGACAGAAGCCAACUCAGCCAAAAGUGGAAUC